AAAUAGAGAAUAGAUAAACGUCUGAGUCAGUAGUCCAUUUUGCGUCGCGCGAAAUAAUCAAAAAGAAAAAUUCACUAGCAGAAGCUAGCGUAAAUUUAUUUUUUCAACAGAUUCCCGAAUCAUCGUUGUUUCUAUGUUUUAUUCGAAAGAAAGUGUUUCUCAAUCUUUCGAAAUUGCUAGAUAAAUCGAGUAGCGAACGAUGUUAAAGAAUAACGUAAAAAAAUUAAGAAACAUACGACUUAUGUUUUACUUGAGAAAAGCGCGGGUUGAGUCAAGUUUGAGAGACACUGUUAUAGGCGUAUUUAACAUGGCAACUUAGCUCGACUUAGCUUGGCAACUUGUUCGGUGCCGUUCGGUGUCAAACCUAACUUGUUCGUAUUCCUGCCACUUCGUCUAGUAUUUCUUACUAGUACUAUUUUAUUGUAUUGUAUUGAUUUUUUUUUAUCGCUAAUUAGUUAUGAAGAGGGUAAUCCUUUUUUUAAUUGGAACCGACGUGAACGGCAAGGUAUUUAUGGUGACUCAUUCAUUGGACGAAUUACUAGCAGCUGCUAGCUCAAAGUUUCAAAUAACUGCCAAAAGAAUAUUUACCCCUCAAGGUGGAGAAAUUGAUGAUAUUAAGUUAAUUCGAGAUGACGAUAUAUUGUACAUUUCGGAUGGAGAAGAUUUCAUUCCAAAGGAUAAGAUUAACAGUCGCAAUCAGUUGAGUAGAAAUUUAGAAUGGAUUACGUUAAAUGUUGGUGGAAAGUAUUUCACAACAACCAGAGACACAUUAACAAAAACAGAACCAACAAGUAUGCUGGCCAGAAUGUUUACGGAAUCUACAGAUAAUGAACAGAGAAUCUUGCCUAGCAGACAAGAUGAAAUGGGCGCAUUUUUGAUAGACAGGAGUCCUACAUAUUUUGAGCCACUAUUAAACUAUUUAAGACAUGGGCAGAUGACCCUUGAUGCUAAUGUUAAUCCUUCUGGGGUUUUGGCAGAAGCGCGUUUUUAUGGAAUAGAAGGGGCUAUUGAGUUACUGAUUCCAAUGAUCGAAGAUUUUCACAAAAGUAGCUCUGUAUCUUUAACUCGAAAAGAUGUACUUAAAGUCAUCAUGUCAACGCCUAUGACUACAGAACUUAGGUUUCAAGGUGUUGAUUUUACUGGUGCUGAUUUGUCAAAGUUAGAUCUCAGGCAUAUUAAUUUUAAGUAUGCAAUUAUGCGCGGUUGCAGUUUGGCGGGUGCAAAUUUAUCAGGCUGUUGCUUUGAACGCGCGGAUUUAUCCAACGCAAAUCUGCAGGGUGCUCAGCUUGUUUGUGUGAAAAUGUUACGCGCGAAUCUUACUGCUGCCAAUCUUCAUUCGUGUAAUUUUGAGGACCCUUGCGGUUUACCUGCCAACAUGGAGGGUGCAAAUUUAAAAGGUGCCAAUCUCGAGGGUAGUUACAUGGGUGCCGUAAAUCUUAGAGUGGCAACGUUAAAGAAUGCCAACCUAAGAAAUUGUUAUCUUAGAUCAGCUGUUCUAGCUGGUGCUGAUUUAGAGUGCUGUGAUUUAUCAGGAUCUGACUUACAAGAAGCGAAUUUGCGGGGCGCAAACUUGAAAGAUGCUGCGUUCGAAUUAAUGUUAACUCCGUUACAUAUGUCUCAAACGAUACGAUAAUAAUUAAUGCAAUGCCCCGCGUGUUCUGCGGCGGUUUAGCCUCUGUGAUCUAGACGAUAUGAAAGUACAGACUGAGAAUUAUAUUGUAAUUGCUACGCUAGAAAGUGUAAAAUUGAGUUUGUAUUUAUUUAGAGGAAUAUAUCAGUCAUCAAUUUUUACUUCCAUUACGAUAUCGAGCCAAAUGAUAAUGAAAGAGAUAACGAAAAGUUGUAAUAAUUAACGAGGAUAGUUGGUUACGAAUAAUUUGAUACUUUAUAUUUUUUAAAGUAUAUAUCGCGUACAUGUAAAUUUAAUGCACGUUAAUGUAAAUUAUUAUAUGUAUAGUUCUUUAUCUGUAUAAAGUACAAAAUAUCUCAUUUUCUUUGUUAUACAAUCGAUCAGUUUAUAUGAUUGUGUCCAGUGUGAAUAAUUUAUUAUCAAUGAUGAAAUGUAGUUUCAUGAUUGCAUAUAUUUUACUUUUUAAAUAAAAAUAUAAUAUAAAUAGCGAGGUAUACCUAAUAAGUUUAGAGAACUCGAAGAGCCAAAAUCUUUUGCUUUUCUAUUACUAUAAAAAUAAUUAAUAACUUGAAAGCUUUGUAUACGCAUAUAAACUUAUACACAAAACUGCGUGCUUAGAAGAUAUUUAGCUCGUGUCAUGUUUAUCACAAGCCACACCUCGUAUACAAUGUCUCAAGAAGAGUUGAGCAAAUUUUACUCGGCAUAAUAAAUAACGAUUUUACCAUUUUUACAAGCGCUUAAUUUCCUGUACAACACUAGACUUCUGAUGUAUAUACUGGUAUAAGAUAUGUAUUAUUUUUUAGACACGAUUGCGACUUACAAAUACGAACGGUUUACAAAGUUACAUUUUGUAUGUAUACAAUUAUUCGAAGAUUUAGUUUGAAUAAAUAUUAUGUACAAAACAUUUAUCGACAAGCACUAAUUUUCGUUGUCUUUUCCAUCUCAUUACCUAACCUAGAAUUCAACUUGUGAUCGAUACUGUUCGC
Hylaeus anthracinus is the source of this 2616-nucleotide RNA transcript. It is a transcript of the gene named BTB/POZ domain-containing protein KCTD9, with no coding region annotated. The transcript is spliced from 8 exons. NCBI's taxonomy places the organism in Eukaryota, Metazoa, Arthropoda, Insecta, Hymenoptera, Colletidae. The record is from RefSeq and is a predicted model, not a curated record.